UUUUUUUUUUUUUUUUUUUUUUUAACGCGAAUCAACAACGCUAGGCUUUCGAACUGUAGUUCGCCACUCUGUCGUAUCAAUCUCCUUUCCUUCUUUUCGUAUCUUUUAAAUCCAAUCUUACGAAUCGUGCAAUGCAUGUAAAUACUCGUACUAGAUGUUGGGGGCAUUCUUAACACGUUGCGCAGAUCGAGUAAGUAGGAAGGCGAGGAUCGUUGCUUCGUUCGCCGAACGUGCAAGAUUUUAUCGAUCGUUAUCUUUGCUUAAAAAGAAAAAUUAGUUUUCGAGUUAUUUCGUCGUUGGAACGAGCCGAUCCGAUCCGAUCCGAGGAAAGUAGACUUUCGGAUAUAUCGAGAAGGCGAGCUUCGAGCGACGUAACGUUACUUUUCCGUAACGAAGGUUCUGGUUAUUUAUGCGAGGAAAACGUCACGAUACCGACAGACGUUUACUUGUUUGGAAAUCUAACGAUUAAGCGCGUGCUACUACGAUCUUGCGUUUGGCGAAGGAAGAACACGCAGAGGCAGGUGACGAGCAAAGUAAAAUCGAGAAAGAGCGAGAGAGAGAGAGAGAGAGAGAGGAAGGGAGGAAGAAAAUAAAAGCGAUAAAAAAACAUCCUUUUUUUGUAUAUAAUUAAAGAAAAGUUAAAGGAACAAAAAGAAAAAAGAAAAAGAAUCUCGUCGACUACUAGGAAUCCUCGGGAACAAAAUCGAUCGACGGGAAAAGAGAAAGUAACGGAGGAAACGUGCGGGGAAUCUACAUGUACAUGAACAAUGUGAUAUAAAUAACUGACAAAAUUACUUAGCACUAUUAUAGCGUUUAAGCAAAAAUAAAACAAAAGAAAGGAAAGAAACUGUUAAAUCGUUUACAGCGUAGACGUACGAUGCUAAAUAUUAUUCGCUAACAUCCUAAAAAACGAAACCCUAAUUGUAUAUAGAAUUACGAGAGGCAGAGAGAAAGAGAGAGAGAGAGAGAGAGAGAAAGCGAGUGAGAGAGUGAGAGGCAAAAGGUGAGAAAGGAUCGGAGAGAAUGAGAAACGGUGUGAGAGUGGAAAAAAGUAAGAAAAAAACUACCAGCUGUAAUUAUUACGUUGAGUAUGACAGAGUGAAAGAGGGUGAGGCGCGAGGGGGAAGGGAGAAAGAGAGAGAGAGAGAAAGAACGUGUUGGAAUAAAAAAAAAAAACUGUAACUCUAGCGUGUCUUGUACAUCUCUCGUGAUAGUAGAAUAUCUGUACAUUGUAUUUCUCGUGUGAAUGUGGCGGCAUGACGUAAAGAAGAAAGAAGAAAUAAGUAAAUAGAAAAGCAAGCGUGUCUGUGCGUCUUAACAAGAGUGUCGCUAUCGUUGUACUCUAUGUCGAAUUUCGUUGUAUAUACCAUCGCUGGUAUAUGUAAAAAUAUGAGAAACACGCGGUAUAUAUUAGGAACCUCUUCGAAGGACUCGUUGCGCGUUGUUGGAAAUGUGAGAACUGGAGGGAAAGACACGCGCAACACACUAUGUAACGCGAUAGAGGCGCGAAAGAAAUUGAAAAAGGAUAGCGUGGCGCACGAGGGCCGGAGCACCCAGCCGCGUGCAAACACUUUUUGUUUUCAGAAGCAGUGCGACAAAUUUCAAUACAAUCUAUCACAAUAAAAAUUGAAGCGUGAAGCGUUGCCCAGUCCUCCUUGCUUCCGCCUUGAACACUGUCUUUGCUCGGCGAUUCGGUCGAAUUUCGACGCUUAGCGAGAAAUUACGUCAAAGAAAAAAAAAGGAAAAAAGAAUAGAGCAACUCGAUGCGAAGGGGUACGAGUGAUCGUGUUCCGAACGGUCGAUGCAUUUCCAAUUGCUUUCGUUCGUCGAACGAAAAGAAGAACGAGCGUAGGUAUGGCGGAGAUUGAAAUUUGCGAGCGACAAAGUCAGUUACCGAUACCGAUGCUUGGUUUUUAACUUUGAAUAUGUACAGCGCUGUGAAAUUUGACAAGGAGAAGGAGGAAGCGCGAACGUUGCGUCCAAACGCAGAGGUUCGAACAUGUUAUUCCGAACGAGCUCUACGAUAUCAAGGGAACUUCUUUUUCCGAAGAAAUAGCAGUAUUAGAUUAACUUUGUAAUUAUUAGCGAUACUAAGUACUAUAUAGAGUAUCUCGGGUUUCUUAAUCGCAAAUUAUUACGCGGUGUAACGAGUUUCUUCGAUCACGAGUUAUAUACGAAUGUCAAACUAUGAGUAUAUUAAAUAUGUUUUUUAUGAAUAUCAGAA
Bombus impatiens (common eastern bumble bee) is the source of this 2224-nucleotide long non-coding RNA. RefSeq lists it as uncharacterized. NCBI's taxonomy places the organism in Eukaryota, Metazoa, Arthropoda, Insecta, Hymenoptera, Apidae. The transcript has 2 exons. The record is from RefSeq and is a predicted model, not a curated record.